RNAcentral lists this ribosomal RNA (484 nucleotides) under uncultured bacterium. RNAcentral's name for it is "partial 16S ribosomal RNA". It matches the Rfam family "Bacterial small subunit ribosomal RNA", at positions 30 to 507 of the family's 1533-position model. The record is from RNAcentral.
AUUGAACGCUGGCGGCAGGCCUAACACAUGCAAGUCGAGCGGAUGAAGGGAGCUUGCUCCUGGAUUCAGCGGCGGACGGGUGAGUAAUGCCUAGGAAUCUGCCUGGUAGUGGGGGAUAACGUCCGGAAACGGGCGCUAAUACCGCAUACGUCCUGAGGGAGAAAGUGGGGGAUCUUCGGACCUCACGCUAUCAGAUGAGCCUAGGUCGGAUUAGCUAGUUGGUGGGGUAAAGGCCUACCAAGGCGACGAUCCGUAACUGGUCUGAGAGGAUGAUCAGUCACACUGGAACUGAGACACGGUCCAGACGCCUACGGGAGGCAGCAGUGGGGAAUAUUGGACAAUGGGCGAAAGCCUGAUCCAGCCAUGCCGCGUGUGUGAAGAAGGUCUUCGGAGUGUAAAGCACUUUAAGUUGGGAGGAAGGGCAGUAAGUUAAUACCUUGCUGUUUUGACGUUACCAACAGAAUAAGCACCGGCUAACUUCGUG